RNAcentral lists this ribosomal RNA (397 nucleotides) under uncultured bacterium. Its description in RNAcentral is "bacterial SSU rRNA". It matches the Rfam family "Bacterial small subunit ribosomal RNA", at positions 29 to 417 of the family's 1533-position model. The record is from RNAcentral.
AACGAACGCUGGCGGCGUGCCUAACACAUGCAAGUCGAGCGAGAAAGUAGCAAUACGAGUACAGCGGCGAACGGGUGAGUAAUACGUAGGUAAUCUACCUAGUAUUGGGGGAUAACAACUCGAAAGGGUUGCUAAUACCGCAUACGAAGUCGGGUCGAUGGAUCCGCCUUGAAAGGAGGCUCUCGCAAGAGGCUUUCGAUACUAGAUGAGCCUGCGUCCCAUUAGCUAGUUGGUAGGGUAAUGGCCUACCAAGGCUUCGAUGGGUAGCUGGUCUGAGAGGACGACCAGCCACACUGGAACUGACACACGGUCCAGACUCCUACGGGAGGCAGCAGUGGGAAUAUUGCGCAAUGGAGGAAACUCUGACGCAGCGACGCCGCGUGGGUGAUGAAGGCCU